AGACCGCAGAGCAAACCGGCAAAGGGAGGAGUCUCGCUCUCACCAUGAACAAUUACACCGUAAAGUUUUGCAGAUAUGCUGGAUUCACUGAAGCACACCACGAGAGUAUUUCUCUGAAACCCACCUCCACCCCAGCUCAAAUUGUCUAGAACUGCUACAAGAGCCUAUUGUAUCAUUGCAUAGCUGGUGGAUGUUCAGAGACCGGUUGAGACCAAAGUCGGUUUGAGUCUGCCUGGAUGGGUUUGGCAUGUGGGACUCUGCUGGUGGCCCUUUCUCUCUUCUUCACUGAGCCUGCUGCCUUUGUCAUUAUUUAUUUAGCCCUUAAGUGUUUAAAAUGGAAAGGUCUAGAGGGACUAAGAAUAGCUGAUGAAAAUAUUCGCCGAUACAGUGCAGGGCAGGAGGAGAUAUUUUUUUUCCCAUUUUUUCUGAUUCUUGGUGAGAUAACCUGUGUACCUGAAGCUUGGAUAAAGAUAGUCCUUGAUGUACUGUGUAUUCAUUUAGUGUUGUGUCAUAAAGAACCUAAAAUGACAGAAGAGAUGAGGGACUGAGUAUCAUAUUGUCUGUGUGUCUGUGUAAUGGGAGAUCCACUUGAAUAACUGAUCUUUGACUGGGGGUCCCCAAAGGGGCAUCACUGGCCUGAAGCAAUUGGCCCUUGAGAUAACAUCAUCAUCAGACACCCCCCAGGUCAAAGUUCACCCCAGGGACCAUGCAUAGGCCAUUGCUUUUGUUAACCAGUUUGAGUUUGGAUGUCAUAGAAAGGUCUUAUCAAUCUUGUCUGAGCUGUGCAAUGAUUUAUUGUCUGUUUAUGUUGGCACGUCUAAGAUUGUUUCUUUAUUACCACCGACAAAUAGUCAGCUAUUAAAUUUUCAGUCAGUUGAGUCACACUUUUAACAUUUUGAAUCCUGUACGAUUUUGGAUUCUUCAGUAUAUACAGUGCAUGUGCCUAAAUUGGUACAAAUUUUGGCCUAAUUUUUGGUUCAUUAUUUAUAAUAAGCACAACAUACAAUAAACUGAAUACUAUAAAUAAGUGACAUUUUGAGCAUGUAUACUUUGAUUAAUAUGAACUAAAUUACAUGUUUAUUAAGGUCACAUGGGUCUCAUUAUAGUAUGGUAUGUUGUAAUGCAGUUUUAAAUUGCUAUUAUAAUUUAUGACAGAUAGACAUAGAUGCAGAUAUGCUAAUAAAAAAUGUGUGUUCUGAUCACCAAUAAACUAUCUCAGUCAGGGAAUGCAAUGCACAACAGUCGCAAACUGUUUCCCUUUCAGCCUCUGUUUUUUUUUUUUUUUUUUUUGUCUUUUACUUUAUAUUGAUUUUAGAUUGUCCAGAUUUGGUUGCCUUGCUCAUCUAUUUCUCUUUCUCUCUUGCCUCCCCUCUCAAGUUUAGAAAAGCCGGGCCUCUGUUAGAGCAUCUGUGACCGUAAAAUGUCCCAUUAGGGAAUCACACUCACUCACUCACUCAACACAUCAAAAAAUGAUGACACAAAUCUGUAUUGAUCAGAAGAGGUUUGAAGUUGUCUGGCUUUUGUCUGUGCAUGGAUGCCUGCUGAAAUUUUGGCAUAUUUCCUCCAAUCACACAUAAAUAAAAACAUUU
Molecule: long non-coding RNA, 1589 nt
Organism: Myxocyprinus asiaticus (Chinese sucker)
Lineage: Eukaryota; Metazoa; Chordata; Actinopteri; Cypriniformes; Catostomidae
Exons: 3
Source: RefSeq, a predicted model, not a curated record